CUAGUUUCGGCCUCCAUGAGCGAGAACCAAUCAGAAUUGGAUUUUUUUUUAGGCCACUUUCAGCCCAAUCCUGGCCCAACCAAAAGUGAGUUGUCGUAACUCUGGGUAUAAAGGGACUCUAGGUUUGUCAAGUCUGGCUUAAAGUAAGUCAUGUACCAGCCUUCCACCUAUCAGCACAUCUUAGAGCGCCAGUUUUCUGACAAAUAGACCAAUUCUGCAUUGUCAGACAAUGAUCUACCUUUUUUAGAAUCCUUUCAGAUGUUCCAGUAAACUGUAAACAUCAAGUAAACUAGUAAACAUAACCUCACUUUCUUCCUGACUUUUACACAGAGAUAGAAGAGAUAGCAGCAUAGAGUAAGAGUAGUUAGAGGGAAACUCUCCCGUAUAGAACCCCUAAGAACUAUACCAUCAUUGCAGCCUGAUUAGAGGUUUUUUUGAAAGUUGAUUUCUUACAUACGGAAAAAAAUCAGCGAUUCUCGUUUGGGGGGAAAAAAAAUAGGAAUAGUUCGUUAAUAAAUUAGGUAUCGCUCGGCAUAUAUAAGAGCUCCGCCGAGUGACGGAAAAUUUCAAGGGGGAUAUUGUGGCAAUUUCACGUAAAACUUAUGGAACUUAUGCGAAUGAAUGAGGCUGCUUAUGAACCAACAAAAAAAAAUGAAAAUUCAAUUUUGAAUUUUUUAUGAGAUAAACUUCGUUGGAAAAAAAACAUUGUUAGUUGAACUUGCAAAUCGUCGGCGUGAUUUGUUACAGGCUGCGGAACCAACCCGUAAAAAGUACCUAAGUUUCAAUGCAUGGGAAUAUCCACCGAAAAAAUUAAAUUGCUCAUUUAACAGUUUUGUACUUACAAACUGUCCGACUUGUUCCAAAUGAGGAGCUUGGAGGACAAGGCGCAUAAAUGCAG
Bemisia tabaci is the source of this 898-nucleotide non-coding RNA. The record is from RefSeq and is a predicted model, not a curated record. Lineage: Eukaryota; Metazoa; Arthropoda; Insecta; Hemiptera; Aleyrodidae.